CCUCCGCCGAGGCGCGGUCGCCCUGGCGGAUCGUGAUCGCCGCGAGGGAUCCGGCGAUCCGCGCGCGGAGGUUGGGAUCCUCGGUGCGGGUCC
Molecule: transfer RNA, 93 nt
Filed under: Microbacterium azadirachtae
Lineage: Bacteria; Bacillati; Actinomycetota; Actinomycetes; Micrococcales; Microbacteriaceae
Description: tRNA-Thr
Source: RNAcentral